ACAUAUGAAAAUACAAUAUUAUUGUUCUGUGGUCAAUAUAACUCAUAAUAUUAUUAUUUUUUUGUAUAAUUAUUUUUUAUACCGUAUUUUAAUAUUUGUCGGGACAACUACUGAACUACGCACAAAUUCGCAAAUCAACUGCAUAAAAUCGUCUACAGACUACAGUCCCCGAUUAUUGUCGGCACAAAUUACAAGGCGGUAUCGGGCACAAAUGUAUUGUGACAAGGUGACAAAAGUGUUUGCUUACAAUGAUUAAUUGCUGUAUGAAGGAAAAUGGAUGCGGGACAAACACUGGUGACAUUCAAUACUUCGUUCAUUAUAAAGAUUUUGAAACUAAAUGGGAUGAAUAGACUGAUGUUGUUGAUGAAGUGUUGGGGACAAGUUGGAGAUUAAUGAAAUUAAUUUGGGUCACAGGGAGAGGUCGGCCCAAAAAAAAUGUAGAACAAGCUACAGAACCAGCUAUAGAAUAAUCUGCAAUAUCAGCUUUAGAAGAUGAAGCAGCUGUUCGGGCUGUUGUUAUUAUUGUAUUAAACAUUAUUUCCUGUUCAAAGCUUCUUACAAUGAAUUUCGCAAAUUAAAACUACAACUUAUUUUAAAGGAAGCAAUGGUUUUCGAUCGUACGAUGCACAAUACAUUCCAAAAGGAAAUGUUCAACGAUGUUCUAUGUUGCCUUAAUACAAUAUUUUAAUACUUCUGUUUAUAAACAUCUAACAUAUAUGAACGAGUAAAGGUACUGUAUACAAAGUGAGAUUUUUGGAGGAUAAUUAUGAUUCUUUUUUCACUGUCGAUGAUUACAUAGAAAUUGAAGAAAUGUGGUUCAUCUAUGGUUCAUGUACAUAGACAUUAGAGAAUAUUAUGUUUGUGGCACGUGGUUUCUGCAUAAUAUGACAAAAUAGAUUAUAAUAUAUUAUAAUAAUAAUAUAUUGUAUUAUAUAUUAUAUUAUUAUAUAUAUUUUUUUUUUUUUAUAUGUUAUCUAUGAAUAUAUUUUAUCAAUAGGUUAUGUAUAAUAUAUGUUAAUGUGUAUAAUACAGAGAUUUUAAGCAACCUUGUUAAUUUACAAAAAAAUAUCCCAAUGUAUAUUAAAUAAUAUUAAUUUAUAAUAUUAUAUAAUAAAGCCCCGUUCACACGACCAAAUAAUUUGUCAAAUAUUGGACGUUUGCCAAACUCCAAAUAUUUUAGAACCAUUUCUAAAAUAUUUGAAGUUUGACGUAGAUCAAAUAUUUGACAAAUUAUUUAUCGUGUGAACGGGGCUUAAAUGUACAUUGCUCACAAACAGGGGUGCUUCAAUAAAUUUGAUUGAAACGAU
Acyrthosiphon pisum (pea aphid) is the source of this 1307-nucleotide long non-coding RNA. RefSeq lists it as uncharacterized. The transcript is spliced from 6 exons. Lineage: Eukaryota; Metazoa; Arthropoda; Insecta; Hemiptera; Aphididae. The record is from RefSeq and is a predicted model, not a curated record.